This 468-nucleotide ribosomal RNA is filed under the name uncultured bacterium. RNAcentral's name for it is "partial 16S ribosomal RNA". It matches the Rfam family "Bacterial small subunit ribosomal RNA", at positions 28 to 507 of the family's 1533-position model. The record is from RNAcentral.
GAUGAACGCUGGCGGCGUGCUUAACACAUGCAAGUCGAACGGUGAAGGCGGAGCUUGCUCUGCUGGAUCAGUGGCGAACGGGUGAGUAACACGUGAGCAAUCUGCCCCUGACUCUGGGAUAAGCGCUGGAAACGGCGUCUAAUACUGGAUACGAGCUGCGAAGGCAUCUUCAGCAGCUGGAAAGAAUUUCGGUCAGGGAUGAGCUCGCGGCCUAUCAGCUUGUUGGUGAGGUAAUGGCUCACCAAGGCGUCGACGGGUAGCCGGCCUGAGAGGGUGACCGGCCACACUGGGACUGAGACACGGCCCAGACUCUUACGGGAGGCAGCAGUGGGGAAUAUUGCACAAUGGGCGAAAGCCUGAUGCAGCAACGCCGCGUGGGGGACGACGGCCUUCGGGUUGUAAACCUCUUUUAGCAGGGAAGAAGCGAAAGUGACGGUACCUGCAGAAAAAGCGCCGGCUAACUACGUG